RNAcentral lists this ribosomal RNA (253 nucleotides) under uncultured bacterium. Its description in RNAcentral is "partial 16S ribosomal RNA". It matches the Rfam family "Bacterial small subunit ribosomal RNA", at positions 524 to 776 of the family's 1533-position model. The record is from RNAcentral.
UACAGAGGAUGCAAGCGUUAUCCGGAAUGAUUGGGCGUAAAGCGUCUGUAGGUGGCUUUUUAAGUCCGCCGUCAAAUCCCAGGGCUCAACUCUGGACAGGCGGUGGAAACUACCAAGCUGGAGUACGGUAGGGGCAGAGGGAAUUUCCGGUGGAGCGGUGAAAUGCGUAGAGAUCGGGAGGAGCACCGGUGGCGAAGGCGGUUCUCUGGGCCUGUACUGACGCUGAGGAGCGAAAGCGUGGGGAGCGAACAGG